This 221-nucleotide long non-coding RNA is filed under the name Capsicum annuum. RNAcentral describes it as "long non-coding RNA (CANN_LNC006850)". The record is from RNAcentral. Lineage: Eukaryota; Viridiplantae; Streptophyta; Magnoliopsida; Solanales; Solanaceae.
AAGAAUGCAACCAGAAAUUUAAGUUCUAAACACUCCCUCUCUCAAGAACUCUCAAUGCUAAGAAGUACGAUACCAUAGGCUUGCCCUUAUUUUGUAUCACCACUAUGAUAAAAGUAUUUGGUUUGAGAUCUCAAAGUACCUUUUAAGCUUGUAAUGUAGGUUCAGGGUGAAUGGGUAGGAUAUCAUUUUGUAUGAUGUGACUACACCCUCUUUGAAAAUCU